GGAAUCUAUAGAUGCCCCUACAUGUCAGCUCCCAAGGCAAAUAUUGCAGCUGUCGUACCCAACAUCCAAGAGCUGAGUAGAUUUCGUCAAAACCUCGAUUCACUGCAAUGCUUAUGGAAACAGCUGUUCUAGGUAUUUGGUAUGAGUUGGGUACUGAAGCUGCUAAAAUGGUACAGAAUUUCCAGGCUAGGAACCGAUUGCUGCUGCACUCACCUGUGACCGCCCAGCUCCAGACAUAGACUUGCCUCCUGCUACACCCACCGAGAUAGCAGACCCACUACCUGCUGUGUCCAUCAAGCACUGUGCCGACAGGGCAAUCUUGUGACUAUUGUGGGAGGGACGUUUCAGUCACAUGUGAAACACCCCGUUUGGGGGUAUAUAACCACUAUGUGCACCCCACUUCUUUGGUGCCCUUUCUUCCUUCGGGAAGAAAGGCCCCGGGCCAUGGUUCCUCAUAAAGCUUUGUUUAAUUUUCUCUUGCUAUUCUGUCUCAUGUGAAUUUAAUUCGUUCUCCGGCCAGACGAACCCCCAUUUGGGGAGAGGAAAUGUCCUCCUCCCCUACAAUACCUAUCUCAUGGGUUGCUCUUAGUAUCUCUAAAGUGCUUAGAUCAGGGCCACCCACGUGUUAGUGGUAAUUGUUACCACCCUAUAUCCUUAUUCCUGGUUAGGCCCCAGAGUGCAUCUCUAACCCCUGUGCCAUGGGAGAUGUCUUAGUCAGUUCUGGCUGCUGUAACAGAAUAGCACAGACUGCGUGGCUCUAAUGACAGAAGUUUAUUCCUCACAAUGGAGGUUGGAAGUCCAAGGUCAGGGUGCCAGCAUGGUCUGGUGAGGAUUCUCUUCCUGGUGUGUCUCCUUCUUUUGUGCCCUCACAUGGUAGAAAGAGAGUGCUCUAGCCGCUUCCUUUUCCUGUAAAGAUACUAAUCCCAUCAUGGGGGUUCUACCCUCAUGACCUCACAUAAACCUUAUUACCUUCCAAAGGCCCCGUUUCCUAAUAACAUCAUAUUGGGAGUUAGGGUUUCAGCAUAUGAUUUUUGGGUACAUAGCAGGAGAGGAUGAGAUUUUCCUUUGAGAGCAUGAUCUUCAAUAACCAGAGCUUUGGAAGAACCAUCUCCCCUAAGUUUGGUGCUGUUUUAUGUAUUAAUAUUCUUAGAUUGGGUUUGUAAGAGAUUGGGUGCUUUGAAAAAAAAAAUAGAGGAAGAAAAAGGAAAAAACAAAAAAGAAGCACAAAAGAACCCUGGUAUAGGUUGUUAUGUUGUCAUUUGCCUCUCUAUAGCCUUAACAUUUAGAAAACAAUUUCUGAUUACUAAAUUAUGGUAAAUUGAGGGUUUCAAUGGAUUAAUCAAGGUUUUCUAUAAUAUGCUGUGAUAGAAGACAACGAAUAAUUAGGUGAAUUACCAAACAUAAAAAGUAUAUAAUGAGAAAAGGCAAUUUAUUAGCACUUUCC
RNAcentral lists this long non-coding RNA (1444 nucleotides) under Equus caballus (horse). RNAcentral's name for it is "lncRNA (ENSECAG00000052413.1)". Lineage: Eukaryota; Metazoa; Chordata; Mammalia; Perissodactyla; Equidae. The record is from RNAcentral.